UACGUAGGGUCCAAGCGUUAUCCGGAAUCACUGGGCGUAAAGCGUGCGUAGGUGGCGUGUUAAGUGUGAUGUUAAAUCGUGGGGCUCAACCCUGUCGAUGCAUCGCAUACUGGCAUGCUAGAGGACGGCAGAGGCAAGUGGAAUUGGUAGUGUAGCAGUGAAAUGCGUAGAUAUUACCAGGAACACCCAAUGGCGAAGGCAGCUUGCUGGGCCACUCCUGACACUGAGGUACGAAAGCGUGGGGAGCGAACAGG
RNAcentral lists this ribosomal RNA (254 nucleotides) under uncultured bacterium. Its description in RNAcentral is "partial 16S ribosomal RNA". It matches the Rfam family "Bacterial small subunit ribosomal RNA", at positions 524 to 776 of the family's 1533-position model. The record is from RNAcentral.